RNAcentral lists this long non-coding RNA (425 nucleotides) under Nicotiana tabacum (common tobacco). RNAcentral describes it as "long non-coding RNA (NTAB_LNC001025)". Lineage: Eukaryota; Viridiplantae; Streptophyta; Magnoliopsida; Solanales; Solanaceae. The record is from RNAcentral.
UCUGCUGCAGGGAAACAAAGGAUUGAUGAUGGCAGCAAGAUGCAACGCCAGGGAAGUCACCAAAAACCAGGGCAGAAAAUUUUCUGCCGAUUGUCAAAAUUUUCUCGGAAGAACGGGGAAACAAUCGGGAACACCAUUUAAGUUCUAGGUCGCCCACCAGUAUAAUGCGGGAAUACGUUCAAGUUCUAGGUCGCCCACCAGUAUAAUGCGGGAAUACUUUCAAGUUCUAGGUCGCCCACCAGUAUAAUGCGGGAAUACGUUUAAGUUCUAGGUCGCCCACCAGUAUAAUGCGGGAAUACUUUUAAGUUCUAGGUCGCCCACCAGUGUAAUGCGGGAAUACAUUUAAGUUCUAGGUUGCCCACCAGUAUAAUGCGGGAAUACAUUUAAGUUCUAGGUCGCCCACCAGUAUAAUGCGGGAAUACGUU